UCGGAAUGUAACCCGAAUUAUUGUUCGGAAUCUGAUAAAAUUUUUUAUCAUGUUAUGAUCCUUUCUACCUUAGUAGAUCGGUGGCUACAUGUUAUCAGCUGACGGGUUGUUUCAAUUGUCUAUGGUUUUAUAGUAUAGUAAACUGUAGGAUUCAUAUACUUCCUAUAUUGUAGAGUUGUGCCAGCUUUAGAAAGAAACAGCUUUUGGUGUACGGUGGCUCAUGAGAUUGACACACAAAAAUCAAUUGGAACAAAUUUCGCUGUGGUUAUAAAGAAGAAACAGCAAAAUUUUCUAGAUUAUAUAUUAUAGGAGAAAAUCAAAAUGAACCACAAAAAUGUUUCUCCAAUAAAAGAAGCGAAAGAGACGUUUCAAAGUCUUCUAGAACUUUCACGACUAUUGUGUACAGGAUUAGAACCAGAAACCUUGGCAAUAUGUGUUAGACUCUGUGAAACUGGUGUUAAUCCCGAAUUACUAGCAAUGGUUCUUAAAGAAUUGAAAAAAGAAGUUCAAAUUGCAGAAGAAAACACAGAGGAAUAGUGGUCUUCUAAGAGCGCACUUUUAAAUUGUGUGUAUCAAAUUUUCAUAUUAGUUUUUAUGUAUGUUAUUAAAAAUAAAUUUGUUUUUUAUCAACCAUGCAA
This is a long non-coding RNA of Diorhabda carinulata, 638 nucleotides long. RefSeq lists it as uncharacterized. The transcript is spliced from 2 exons. NCBI's taxonomy places the organism in Eukaryota, Metazoa, Arthropoda, Insecta, Coleoptera, Chrysomelidae. The record is from RefSeq and is a predicted model, not a curated record.